Molecule: ribosomal RNA, 669 nt
Filed under: uncultured bacterium
Lineage: Bacteria
Description: bacterial SSU rRNA
Rfam family: Bacterial small subunit ribosomal RNA
Source: RNAcentral
CCCUUAGAGUUUGAUCCUGGCUCAGAGCGAACGCUGGCGGCAGGCUUAACACAUGCAAGUCGAGCGGGCGUAGCAAUACGUCAGCGGCAGACGGGUGAGUAACGCGUGGGAACAUACCUUUUGGUUCGGAACAACACAGGGAAACUUGUGCUAAUACCGGAUAAGCCCUUACGGGGAAAGAUUUAUCGCCGAAAGAUUGGCCCGCGUCUGAUUAGCUAGUUGGUGAGGUAACGGCUCACCAAGGCGACGAUCAGUAGCUGGUCUGAGAGGAUGAUCAGCCACAUUGGGACUGAGACACGGCCCAAACUCCUACGGGAGGCAGCAGUGGGGAAUAUUGGACAAUGGGCGCAAGCCUGAUCCAGCCAUGCCGCGUGAGUGAUGAAGGCCCUAGGGUUGUAAAGCUCUUUUGUGCGGGAAGAUAAUGACGGUACCGCAAGAAUAAGCCCCGGCUAACUUCGUGCCAGCAGCCGCGGUAAUACGAAGGGGGCUAGCGUUGCUCGGAAUCACUGGGCGUAAAGGGUGCGUAGGCGGGUCUUUAAGUCAGGGGUGAAAUCCUGGAGCUCAACUCCAGAACUGCCUUUGAUACUGAAGAUCUUGAGUUCGGGAGAGGUGAGUGGAACUGCGAGUGUAGAGGUGAAAUUCGUAGAUAUUCGCAAGAACACCAGUGGC